AUGCUCAAUCUCGCACUUGGUUCCACCGAAGGGUGGCCAAGAGGGAAUCCGGUGAGAGUCCGGAACUGCCCCGCAGCGGUGAAUGAGAACGACCGCCGUCAGAAGCACUGGGACCACGUCCCGGGAAGCGACGGCCAGUAGGUGCCUCAGGGUGUGCUCGUGAGUCCGAAGACCUGCCAGGUGUGGCCCCGAAAC
RNAcentral lists this non-coding RNA (195 nucleotides) under Tessaracoccus aquimaris. The record is from RNAcentral. Lineage: Bacteria; Bacillati; Actinomycetota; Actinomycetes; Propionibacteriales; Propionibacteriaceae. RNAcentral also lists the same sequence under 1 other name.